This 318-nucleotide ribosomal RNA is filed under the name Triticum aestivum (bread wheat). RNAcentral describes it as "partial small subunit ribosomal RNA". Lineage: Eukaryota; Viridiplantae; Streptophyta; Magnoliopsida; Poales; Poaceae. The record is from RNAcentral.
AUGAAAGCAAAGCCCAUACAUACCUCAAUGGCCAAUGAUUGCCGGACGGAGUGGAAACGGCGGGGACCCGGCGAGGAAGAACAGGGACGGCGGUGGCCGGCCGACGCGCGUGGGAGGUGGAGGGGAUUGGGGUGGUCGGCGGCGAGGCUGAGCUACGGCGCGGCGGCAGCGUUGGAAUCAGGGGAGAAAGAGGAAAGAAUGGUACGGGAAAGCGGGGAUGAAGUCUAUAGCGUGGUGGAGGAGAUGGAGUUUGACUCUGGAAUUUUAGAAGGAGAGAAGAUAUUUUUUUAUUCCUUUUAUUACUUAAUAACUAAAUAA